Molecule: non-coding RNA, 91 nt
Filed under: Tatumella morbirosei
Lineage: Bacteria; Pseudomonadati; Pseudomonadota; Gammaproteobacteria; Enterobacterales; Erwiniaceae
Description: TPP sequence
Rfam family: TPP riboswitch aptamer (THI element)
About the family: Vitamin B(1) in its active form thiamin pyrophosphate (TPP) is an essential coenzyme that is synthesised by coupling of pyrimidine and thiazole moieties in bacteria. The previously detected thiamin-regulatory element, thi box was extended, resulting in a new, highly conserved RNA secondary structure, the THI element, which is widely distributed in eubacteria and also occurs in some archaea. Analysis of operon structures identified a large number of new candidate thiamin-regulated genes, mostly transporters, in various prokaryotic organisms.
Source: Rfam by way of RNAcentral
UCCAAUGACUCGGGGUGCCCUAUGUGGCUGAGAAAUACCCGUUGAACCUGAACCGGAUAAUGCCGGCGGAGGGAAGUCAGAUGCCAGAGCC